Molecule: long non-coding RNA, 1306 nt
Organism: Astatotilapia calliptera (eastern happy)
Lineage: Eukaryota; Metazoa; Chordata; Actinopteri; Cichliformes; Cichlidae
Source: Ensembl
GCAACUGAAUAAUACAGAAAACAGAGAUUGGAGACGGGAAACUGUUCUUGAAGUACAGAGAGAGAGAGAGAGAGAGCUGUGCAUGGAUGUGAAUUUAAUAGUCGUGGAAGCAAAACAGCAAAAUUCAUGACGACAUUGAUCAAAUGUGAAGCGCAGUUUGAAUCAGAAUCAGAAUACUUUAUUGCUCCCUGGGGGAAAUUAUUUUUUGUUACAGUGCUCCAUUUUGCUGCUUCUUUUGCUGCUGGCUCGGUGAAUUUUGGUUGGAGAGAGACAAAACCUGCAGCUCAGAAUCAGCGCAAAAAGACACAUAAUCACAGCGCGGACCGGACGCAUCAGAACCGCUAAGCUCCGACAGCGUGUCCGUCUACGGGCCGUCGGGUGAGAAAGCCGAGAAAGACGAAGCUGAUUCUGAUGCGUGGGGUCCGUUCUGUGUUUACGUCUUUGUGUGGAGUCCGUGUACCUGCUCUCAUUUGCUGUUUGGUUGUUGUUGAAAUGGUUUUGUGAGCUUUAAUCUGAGAAUCUGGCGUUUCUGGCAAAACACAGUUAUAUUUAAAAGUCGAUUCAGGAUUUAAUGAAUUGAUAUCGCUUUAUUCAAGCUACUCACCUCCCACUUCCACCUGCACUUUCAACUGGACCACGGCCAAUCAGAGAGGUCCCGCCCCUUACUAUCUCUGAUUGGUUUAGUCCACGAUAGGGGCAAAAUGUGUGUCUGUUGUUGACCACAGGGAAGGUUGCAGAUUUUUUUUUUUUUUUUUUGCUACCUGAACAUUUGGUCGCACAGGUGCAACCAAAUUUUUUUUUUUAGUCGCACCACUGAAAACUUUGGUCGCAUUUGCGACCAAAUUGGUCGCACUCUAGAGCCCUGCUGUUGCUUCUACUUUAAACAGAAGAGCAGGGACAUGGGUGCAGGUCUUCGCCACUCCGGCCAUACUGGUGCAGUGGGCGGCUUCAAUCUUCCCUGUGAUGCUCACAGUGACCCAUGGCUGCAAUGCUGGUUCAUUCAGUCUUUGAGAGUAGUGAUGGUAAAUUUGAUUCUUUUUACUGAAUCGAGUUUUAAUGAGUCACUCACCAAAGUGAAUCGGAUUUUUUGAGUCAUUUGAUUCACUGAGUCAGUUGACCAGAGAGUGCAAAAAAUUUACAUUUUCACUCAAACUUAAUUUGUUUCUCUUUUCAUGUAAAUCCCACUGCUAAGAUGAAUGAUUAAAAAAAAAAAAACUAUUUUAUAGAGCAAAAAAGAGCAAAAACAUUUCUAAAAUUAAGCAAUUUCCUAUCAAAAUUGCUUAAUAAACAUUUAUUUUGUUUAUUU